UACGUAGGGUGCAGGCGUUAAUCGGAAUUACUGGGCGUAAAGCGUGCGCAGGCGGUUUGCUAAGACAGGUGUGAAAUCCCCAGGCUCAACCUGGGAACUGCGUCUGAUACUGGAUGGCUUGAAUCCGGGAGAGGGAUGCAGAAUUCCAGGUGUAGCGGUGAAAUGCGUAGAUAUCUGGAGGAACACCGGUGGCGAAGGCGGCAUCCUGGACCGGCAUUGACGCUGAGGCGCGAAAGCCAGGGGAGCAAACGGG
RNAcentral lists this ribosomal RNA (253 nucleotides) under uncultured bacterium. RNAcentral's name for it is "partial 16S ribosomal RNA". It matches the Rfam family "Bacterial small subunit ribosomal RNA", at positions 524 to 776 of the family's 1533-position model. The record is from RNAcentral.